RNAcentral lists this long non-coding RNA (3966 nucleotides) under Medicago truncatula (barrel medic). RNAcentral describes it as "long non-coding RNA (MTRU_LNC006982)". The record is from RNAcentral. Lineage: Eukaryota; Viridiplantae; Streptophyta; Magnoliopsida; Fabales; Fabaceae.
AAGGAGGUUGAUGGACAGUGGUGAUGAAGCCAUUCAAAUAAGACGUAGAGCUCAAGAGAUUGCAAAAAUAGCUAAACAUGUUGUUCAAGAAGGUGGCUCAUCCCAUGAUAAUUUGACGGCUUUGAUUGAUGAGCUUAAGCAAUUAAGAGACAAUAAGGGACUUAAUUAAUAAUGAUGUCAUCAAACCGAAUUAUAAUUGUGAUAGUAUAAUUAAUUGUUCAUUAUUCGACAAAAAAAUUGUGUAUUUAUUUAUUGGAAAUUCUACUUCAAGCGACAAACGGUAACACAAAGUUAUCACAAGAUAAUAUAUAAUUGUCAUUAGUUGAAUUAGAUCGUUUUUCUUGAAUUAGUGAUAUAUGAACAACCUAAAAAGGUUGUCAAGUAUCCACACCGUAGCAUUAUAAAGCAAAUUACAGCAUGCACGCAAACCAAGGCAAGGAAAGAAACAAAUAAAAAAAAAAUGAAAAAGUGGGUGCAAAAUACUAUUAUACGGUGUGGGACAACUUAUAUGUUGUCAAAAUAACAUUCCUCCUUUCAUUUUGCCUCUGUUCAAAUAUAAACCAAACAGAAAAGUACAUGUUUCGGAUUGUAAAAACCAGACUUCAGUUAGACACCUUGGAAAAACCAGCCAUCUUGAAUGAAAAGGCCAAAAGUAACAUAGCCAACUUCAGCCUUACCAUGGAUUCAUGGAAUUUUACUAUUUUGGAGACCCCUUCUAGUGAGCUCAAUAGUCUCAUCUUUAAUGACAUCUCUGGUGCUUGUAUGCCUAGAAAUGUUCGUGUAAUUGUUUAGUUUUCUCUUUUGGGCUUCGGCUCUCUCUUGUACAAAAAAAAAAUAAAAAUAAGCAAACUUUGAUUUUAGAGCCUCUAAAAAAAUAAAACGGGAUAUCUUCAUCCUCCAAGAAAUUUCUUUUUCUUUUUGUAUCUAUAAUGCCCAGAAUGUUAGGAUUCUUUCAUGUUAAAGAUGUAUUCAUAUUAUGUUCAAAAAUAUCAAAAGUAUUUCAAAAUUAUGCCCAUUAAGAACCAACAACGAAAACAUCUAUCUAAUCAACUAAAAAAAGUUAUCUUUUUUCUCUUCUUCUCAAACCCUAGUCGUCACCCCUUUCUUCUUCUUGUUAGAGGGGUGAUUUAGGGUCAAUUUUGACCCAAUAAUCACCCCUCCGAGUUGUUUUUUUCCUUCUAUCCUAAUUGAAUAAGUGAUUUCACAUAUUUUCUGUUUCCUUUCGUUUGUUUUUGUGAUUUUGUCGUCUAUGAAUGACUCUGUUUGUUUUGAUUUCCCGUCUUUGUGCGAUGUGUUUGAUUUCCCGUUUUAGUACGGUGUUUAUUUGAUUCAGGUUGAAAGAUUAGCUUUGAACAAGUGCAGAUCCGAUCAAUGACAAUGACUUUGGUGUCGUCAACGUUGCAAAUCCGGAGACAUGAGUACUUCAGAGACUUAAAUAUAGUCAUAUUAGUCAUAUUUGUAGGCAACUUUGCCGUUUUAUGCUAUUAACAUGGAUGAUGUGAGUUUGUUCAUAGAUUCAUCCUUUUUGUUUUUAGCGAAUUUAAAUUUAUAUUGUAUCGAUGUACUCUAUCAAUUUGAAUGAAUGAAUAUCGUUUAUUUUUGUCAAAAAAAAAAGAACCAACAACGAAACAAUUUUUUUUUCUAGGAUGAAAACAUCCAGAUUUACUUUUAAAGACUAAAAUGAAGAUUCUAUUCUAUAUAUGUUUAGGAUGAAAAACUUAUUUAUAACCAUAAAAAUUAUGCUUAACAAGAUAGAUUGGAUUUAUAGAAAGAAAAUGCUAGAGUGGUACGAACGAAGAGCAACAAAAUGAUUUUUUUUUCAUUCCUUAAACAACAAUAUAGAAAGAUAAGUACAUUUGAUUUUCUACACCUAUCUUAUCGGCUUUUGAUAGAAGAGUAAUGCUUGGUGCGAAAUAUUUUCGCACAAAUCACACGAAAGCAUGUAUUUUUAUUAUUCCGCUAAGCAUGAUGAUAACACAAUUAAAAACAAGUUACUUACAAAUCUACGAUUGAAAGCAUGAACACUGCUACUUACAAAUUCACAAUUUAUUAUUUUUAAUAUUCCUCUCAAAAAAUUAAUAUAAAUAUUAGGACAAAAUAUUUUUUUGUUCCAAUAAAAUUACAAGUUUUUAAGUUUAGUCUCUCUAAACUUUUAAUGAUAAUUUUAGUCAUUUAUAAUAUUGUACACCCUCCGGUCACUAAUAUAAGCAAAAAUACACUUUUUAAAUACAUUAAUUUAAUGAUGUAUGUGGUCUUUAUUAUAUGUCACAUACAACAUUUAUUGAAUGUAUCUAAAAAGUAAAUUUUUGCUUAUAUUAGUGACCAGAGGGUGUAGCUUUUAAGAACAACCUCGAUUCUUCCCUAAAAAAAAAAAGAACAACCUCGAUUUUGAAAACUUUUUUAAAAAAGGAUAUUUUCAGUCCUCAACACAGUCCUUAUAAAACGCAUAGGGACUAAAAGUGAAUAAUUUUUUUAAAGGAUUAAACGUGAAAGCUCGUAAUUUUGUACGGACUAAGCACAUUUAACUCUUAGAGUUUGUUUGGUAAGACAUGAUUUUGAGCUCAUAGUUUAUAUCAUAUAAGCUCAUUUGACUAAAAAACAGAUUUAUUUGAUAAAUGUCACUUUAUCAUGAGUUUAUAACUUAUUUUUACUAGUUUAUGUCUGUUAAUAAGCUAAUUAUAGCAUAUCACUAUUUAUCUCAACUUUACCCCUACAAAUUUAAUUGGCAAAUAAAAUUAAUUAAAUAUAUCAGUUUUAUGUCAUUUCAUAUUUACAAGUUAAUUUUACUAAAUACUGUAAAUUCAGUCAGCUAACUUAUUCGCUAUCAGUUAUAAGAUAGUUUAUCAACUAUUUGAUAGCUAUAAAGUCAUAUGCAAUAAACUAACGAAUCAGUUAUUCACUAUUUUUAACCAAACAAACCUUAUUAUUAUUAAUAUUAUAUUAUUUAAUUAAAAUAAUAUAUUUAAAACCUUAUGAACCAUAUCCAAAUUAUCUCUGGACGGUGAAAUGAAAGUAUGACACUCAAAUAAACCUACAAGCUUUUUUUCCCCGGUAUAUAACUAAGCCAGUUUUUAUCAAUGCAAAAAUAUAUAAUAAUUGUGCGUGCAUGCUUCACGUAAUUUGUGCGAAAAUAUUGGAUAACAUUUAGGUGACAUUGGUGACAUCGACCAAUCACAAUAUUACAAUGCUUGUGAAAGAGAGACAAACAUAAGUGUAACAUUGUAAUUGACCAAUAUCACCAAUAUCACCCAAAUACUAUCCGAAAAUAUUUCGCACCAUCCAACAUUUUUGUUCAGAAUUAACCAAAGUCUUACCGAACACCUUUUUUAUACUAAAACAUAGUGAAAUUGAUUUUUUCGGUCUCUUCUUCCUAGGCUUGCAAAGUGGCAUGAGGCAGAGCAUUAUUGAGGAUAAUUCUAAUAGAGAGAGUGUUGUGAUUUUAUUUGUUUAAUUUUAAAUCAGCCGUUUUUCAAGAACAAAAAUGAGGCAGGCAGAUCUAGUAUCUUUCGUUUUCUUUUACUUUUUCUUGAGGCAUAUAUGUCCAUUAAUAUACAGCAAUAUACAGAUAAGACACAUUUUUAUUAAAGUAUCAAGUUGACAGGAUAUAUAAAUAUAUAUAAAUGGCCAAUGACAAAAAUAUAUAUAUACAACAUUUUCAGUGAUAGGUCAUUGGAAACCACACAAGAAUUGUUUGUCACUUUGUUAUAAUCUACACCUUAUAGUAUCCACACACGCACAAAGAAGAAUUAUAUUGGCGAUGGAAGAAAAAACAAAGAUGGAUAUGGAAGAAGGAGAAGAGAAAGCACUUACUAUCUACUUCAUACCUUACUUAGCUCCUGGUCAUAUGAUCCCUUUAUGUGACAUAGCAACACUCUUUGCCUUACGCCGUCAAAAAGUUACCAUCAUAACCACACCCUCCAAUGCUCAAAUCCUUGGCAAAUCCAUCCCUUUAAACCAACACCUCCG